This 103-nucleotide microRNA precursor is filed under the name Marmota monax (woodchuck). Lineage: Eukaryota; Metazoa; Chordata; Mammalia; Rodentia; Sciuridae. The record is from RNAcentral.
AGAGAGAUAGCUGGGUCAAAUGAUGGUUCCAAUUCCAGAUUUCCAAGGAAUAUCCAUACUGCUUUCCAUAUUGGCUGCAUCAAUUUGCAGUCCCACCAACAGU